Molecule: ribosomal RNA, 244 nt
Filed under: uncultured bacterium
Lineage: Bacteria
Description: partial 16S ribosomal RNA
Rfam family: Bacterial small subunit ribosomal RNA
Source: RNAcentral
CUGAUAUGGCGCACGGGUGCGUAACACGUAACUAACCUACCUAUACCUGGGGGAUAGCCCGCCGAAAGGCGGAUUAAUACCGCAUAAGGCUUUUACCCGGCAUCGGGUGCUAGUUAAAGAUUUAUUGGGUAUAGAUGGGGUUGCGGGUCAUUAGCUAGUUGGUAAGGUAACGGCUUACCAAGGCGACGAUGACUAGGGGAGCUGAGAGGCUGGUCCCCCACACGGGCACUGAGAUACGGGCCCG